Molecule: ribosomal RNA, 418 nt
Filed under: uncultured bacterium
Lineage: Bacteria
Description: bacterial SSU rRNA
Rfam family: Bacterial small subunit ribosomal RNA
Source: RNAcentral
UGGGGAAUAUUGGGCAAUGGGCGAAAGCCUGACCCAGCAACGCCGCGUGAAGGAAGAAGGUCUUUGGAUUGUAAACUUUUGUCCUAUGGGAAGAAGGAAGUGACGGUACCAUGGGAGGAAGCCCCGGCUAACUACGUGCCAGCAGCCGCGGUAAUACGUAGGGGGCGAGCGUUGUCCGGAAUUACUGGGCGUAAAGGGCGCGCAGGCGGCCCAUCAAGUCAGAUGUGAAAUACCUGGGCUUAACCUGGGAACUGCAUUUAAACUGGUUGGCUAGGAGUGCAGGAGAGGGAAGCGGAAUUCCUAGUGUAGCGGUGAAAUGCGUAGAUAUUAGGAGGAACACCAGUGGCGAAGGCGGCUUUCUGGACUGUAACUGACGCUGAGGCGCGAAAGCGUGGGGAGCGAACAGGAUUAGAUACCC